This 253-nucleotide ribosomal RNA is filed under the name uncultured bacterium. RNAcentral's name for it is "partial 16S ribosomal RNA". It matches the Rfam family "Bacterial small subunit ribosomal RNA", at positions 524 to 776 of the family's 1533-position model. The record is from RNAcentral.
UACGUAGGGGCAAGCGUUGUCCGGAUUUAUUGGGCGUAAAGAGCGUGUAGGCGGUCUGGUAGGUCCGUUGUGAAAACUCGAGGCUCAACCUCGAGACGCCGAUGGAAACCAUCAGACUAGAGUCCGGAAGAGGAGAGUGGAAGUUCCUGGUGUAGCGGUGAAAUGCGCAGAUAUCAGGAAGAACACCCGUGGCUAAGGCGGCUCUCUAGUACGGUACUGACGCUGAGACGCGAAAGCGUGGGGAGCGAACAGG